UACAGAGGGUGCAAGCGUUGUUCGGAAUUACUGGGCGUAAAGCGCGUGUAGGUGGCGAUGUAAGUCGGGUGUGAAAUCCCUCGGCUCAACCGAGGAAGUGCACUCGAUACUGUGUCGCUUGAGUGUUGGAGGGGAUGGCGGAAUUCCCGGUGUAGAGGUGAAAUUCGUAGAUAUCGGGAGGAACACCUGUGGCGAAGGCGGCCAUCUGGACAACUACUGACACUGAGACGCGAAAGCGUGGGGAGCAAACAGG
RNAcentral lists this ribosomal RNA (253 nucleotides) under uncultured bacterium. RNAcentral describes it as "partial 16S ribosomal RNA". It matches the Rfam family "Bacterial small subunit ribosomal RNA", at positions 524 to 776 of the family's 1533-position model. The record is from RNAcentral.